AAGCUUGGAGAGCUACCGAAUCAACUAUCUCCUGAGUUAGAGCUUUAGAUUUCAAACACUGAUUUGUUGCCUGGCUAGUCAGUGAUAAGUUGAGCUUCAUUUCCGAGCACUAAGUUUUGCGUUUUCCAGAGGGCAGGGGAAGUUUGCAUUACUACCUCAAAUUAUCAUUAUGAGGAAUUUCGUGCUUGCUAUGGUAUCUUUUCUGCCAAUUACAUUCCAGUCAGAAAGAUGGAAUUGGAUAUGGAGCUAAGGUUUUUUUUUCUAGACGUCCGGACAUCGAGUAAUGGAGCUAACCCAGAAGUAAACAUGGAGAAUUCUGUGACUUUAAGAAUACCAGCUAAUUUGAAUUACAUAUUGCUGGUUGGAAGACCUCUCUAAAGGCCCUGUGGUUGCAUUCUAGACUUGAUUCAAUCUAAUUUCUGACUUGAAUGGUGUUGGGUGGUCGAUCAAAAUUCAAAAGUGCAGCACUACAUCUCUCAAAUAGUUUCAAAUAGUUGGAGUUCUACACGUACAGAUGGUUUCUUUUACUGUUCAAGACUAUUAUUGUGUAUUUCACAAUUUUGAUGAGUAUUCAUUUACAAAUGUUCAA
Molecule: long non-coding RNA, 589 nt
Organism: Rosa rugosa (rugosa rose)
Lineage: Eukaryota; Viridiplantae; Streptophyta; Magnoliopsida; Rosales; Rosaceae
Exons: 4
Source: RefSeq, a predicted model, not a curated record